Myotis lucifugus (little brown bat) is the source of this 81-nucleotide non-coding RNA. Lineage: Eukaryota; Metazoa; Chordata; Mammalia; Chiroptera; Vespertilionidae. The record is from Rfam.
AGGCCUGAAGAGAGAAGCAGGGUCUAAUUCGUAGCCUCUGUGGCAGCUGUUGAUCAGCACUUGCCCCUCUCUUUCUCUCCA